AUGUCCGCUUCGUCUUCAACCUCUCUCCUCGUCCCAGCGGAUUGGUUGAUGCCUCUCAUGCCAUGCAGACGAGGUCGAGACCAACGUCGCAAGCCCUGGCUCCCAGGCAGAGCAACAUUUCUACAAGUGCAUCCACUACGAUCCGAGGACCUGAUGAAGAAUUGGCAAGUGCAAGCCAUCAUAUGGGGCCCUGCGACACUAACCAAAGCAGAUCAUGUCACACACCUGGGCCGUCGCCGCAACCAAGUCCCGGUUCUCUCCUUCCCCAACAUUUCUCCAACAUCAUGUGCCUUCUGGCUGGAAGGUCCCGUAACAGUUCUUGGGGGCUAUGCCAAGUUUUGUUUUACACUUGGAAAUGACAGUAUAACCUUUCCAAAUCCAGAAACCGAUAGAAGAUACAGAAGAAAACUAGGUGCAAUCAAUAGUUGUGGAGGUAAGGGGCUGAAGAUUGCUGUGCCACCGAAAAAAGGUUUUCAAGAUUUUGUGAAUGUUACUGAUCUUAAUUCCAAGAAACCACAUGUCACUGGCUACAACAUUGAUAUCUUUGAGGCUGCUAUGAGGACUUUACGUCCUCUCCUGUGCUAUGAAUAUUUUGUCUUCAAUGGUACUUAUGAUGAGCUAGUAGGCAACAUGUCUUUGGGGGUCUAUGAUGCUGCAGUAGGCGAUGUGACCAUAACGGCAGAACGAGUCACCACCACCGACUUUACAAUGCCAUACACACAGUCUGGUGUGUCUAUGCUUGUGCUUGCCGUGGAUGAACCCUAUAGAAUCAGUUGGACAUUUGUAAAGCCACUAAAUGGGGAGCUUUGGUUUGCAACCAUGGUCUUUUUCCUGUAUACUGGCUUUGUCGUGUGGAUGAUUGAACUACCGAGAAAUCAAGAGUACCAAGGAUCAAGUUUGAGACAGUGUAGCACAGCCCUCUACUUCGUUUUCUCCACUUUGACAUUUUUUUUUCGAGAGUACGCAAAUUGCGUACCAUAG
Molecule: ribosomal RNA, 981 nt
Filed under: Triticum aestivum (bread wheat)
Lineage: Eukaryota; Viridiplantae; Streptophyta; Magnoliopsida; Poales; Poaceae
Description: partial small subunit ribosomal RNA
Source: RNAcentral